UUGAGUUCUGGUGGUCCAUAUUCAGAAAGGGAAGGUGUCAGUUCUGGAUGGAGCUAUUUGCAGACCUUAGAGAAGCUGGAUACUUAAAUGGGAGUCACGAGCAUCAGUGUCUGCUGAGAUAUUGCUUUGGUGAUGUUAUUCAGAGGGACUUGGAUGAGUGUAUGAGACUGUGGAACAGUCACAGGAUCCGCCCCUCCAGAACAGCAUCAUGUCCAGGAGGAGUGCCAAAUGAGCUCUACUACUUACCACACAGGUUUGGCUCCAGAGACUGUGGAUUUAAAAUCCAAAUGACUGAACUGGAUGCCUUUCCUGACGUUCAUCUGACAAGAGCUCCAUGUGGGGACCCAAACAUGCAAGAAUACUUGGACUUUGCAGUGGAGCACAAUCAUUUACA
Molecule: long non-coding RNA, 394 nt
Organism: Archocentrus centrarchus (flier cichlid)
Lineage: Eukaryota; Metazoa; Chordata; Actinopteri; Cichliformes; Cichlidae
Exons: 3
Source: RefSeq, a predicted model, not a curated record